UCGAGAAACCUCCGCAAUGUGAGAAAUCGCGACGGGGGGAUCCCAAGUGCCAUUCUUAACUGGAUGGCUUUUCAUUAGUGUAAAGAGCUUUUGGAAUAAGGGCUGGGCAAGACCGGUGCCAGCCGCCGCGGUAACACCGGCAGCUCUAGUGGUAGCAGCUUUUAUUGGGCCUAAAGCGGCCGUAGCCGGUUUAAUAAGUCUCUGGUGAAAUCCUGUAGCUUAACUGUGGGAAUUGCUGGAGAUACUAUUAGACUUUAGACCGGGAGAGGUUAGAGGUACUCCCAGGGUAGAGGUGAAAUUCUGUAAUCCUGGGAGGACCGCCUGUUGCGAAGGCGUCUAACUGGAACGGUUCUGACGGUGAGGGACGAAAGUUAGGGGCGCGAACC
RNAcentral lists this ribosomal RNA (386 nucleotides) under uncultured Methanobrevibacter sp. RNAcentral's name for it is "bacterial SSU rRNA". It matches the Rfam family "Archaeal small subunit ribosomal RNA", at positions 339 to 725 of the family's 1478-position model. The record is from RNAcentral. Lineage: Archaea; Methanobacteriati; Methanobacteriota; Methanobacteria; Methanobacteriales; Methanobacteriaceae.